RNAcentral lists this ribosomal RNA (433 nucleotides) under uncultured bacterium. RNAcentral describes it as "partial 16S ribosomal RNA". It matches the Rfam family "Bacterial small subunit ribosomal RNA", at positions 29 to 507 of the family's 1533-position model. The record is from RNAcentral.
AACGAACGCUGGCGGCAUGCCUAACACAUGCAAGUCGAACGAGACCUUCGGGUCUAGUGGCGCACGGGUGCGUAACGCGUGGGAACCUGCCCUUAGGUUCGGAAUAACUCCCCGAAAGGGGUGCUAAUACCGCUUAAUGUCUUCGGACCAAAGAUCUAUCGCCUUUGGAUGGGCGCGCGUUGGAUUAGCUAGUUGGUAGGGUAAAAGCCUACCAAGGCGACGAUCCAUAGCUGGUCUGGGAGGAUGAUCAACCGCACUGGGAAUGAGACACGGCCCAGAAUCCUACGGGAGGGAGCAGAGGGGAAUAUUGGGCAAUGGGCGAAAGCCUGAUCCAGCAAUGCCGCGUGAGUGAUGAAGGCCUUAGGGUUGUAAAGCUCUUUGACCCGGGAUGAUAAUGACAGUACCGGGAGAAUAAGCACCGGCUAACUCCGUG